Labrus bergylta (ballan wrasse) is the source of this 420-nucleotide long non-coding RNA. RefSeq lists it as uncharacterized. Lineage: Eukaryota; Metazoa; Chordata; Actinopteri; Labriformes; Labridae. The record is from RefSeq and is a predicted model, not a curated record.
GGACAGAAUUAUCUUUACGCUCCCGGAACAAAAACGUGCAUUUGAAAAUAUUGUGUAAGUGUCCGCCAGCGCUCACUCAACCAUCCGAACAUAAUGCCGACGUCCCCUGUUAAAACGCGGAUCCCCCUCACCAGCUUCGGUCACCUCAUAACAGAGGUGAAGAAGCAGCUGUUUGGCAUUGAGACUCCAACUUCUGUGGAACUGACGGGUUUGAGGAAAUACUUCAAUAGCUACACACUGCAGGGACGCCGAAAUUGUGUGUUGGUUACCUAUGGGGUCUUUGCUGUAACUGCUGCCGCCUACUUCCUGCACAGACAGAGCAAAAAAGAGAACCAGAGGUCCAACGCUUCAGCCUGAAGAAUGAAUGAAAAUGACACGACACUACCUGUACUCUGUUAAUAAAUCUAUUUAAAUGCAGAA